RNAcentral lists this ribosomal RNA (429 nucleotides) under Bacteroidota bacterium. Its description in RNAcentral is "Bacteroidetes bacterium partial 16S ribosomal RNA". It matches the Rfam family "Bacterial small subunit ribosomal RNA", at positions 355 to 776 of the family's 1533-position model. Lineage: Bacteria; Pseudomonadati; Bacteroidota. The record is from RNAcentral.
UAGGGAAUCUUCCGCAAUGGACGCAAGUCUGACGGAGCAACGCCGCGUGAGUGAAGAAGGAUUUCGGUUCGUAAAACUCUGUUGUUAGAGAAGAACAGCGCAUAGAGUAACUGUUAUGCGUGUGACGGUAUCUAACCAGAAAGCCACGGCUAACUACGUGCCAGCAGCCGCGGUAAUACGUAGGUGGCAAGCGUUGUCCGGAUUUAUUGGGCGUAAAGCGAGCGCAGGCGGUCAAUUAAGUCUGAUGUGAAAGCCCCCGGCUCAACCGGGGAGGGUCAUUGGAAACUGGUUGACUUGAGUGCAGAAGAGGAGAGUGGAAUUCCAUGUGUAGCGGUUAAAUGCGUAGAUAUAUGGAGGAACAACAGUGGCGAAGGCGACUCUCUGGUCUGUAACUGACGCUGAGGCUCGAAAGCGUGGGUAGCAAACAGG